RNAcentral lists this long non-coding RNA (431 nucleotides) under Homo sapiens (human). RNAcentral describes it as "HSALNT0129961". The record is from RNAcentral. Lineage: Eukaryota; Metazoa; Chordata; Mammalia; Primates; Hominidae.
CCUGCGUGGCUGGGCUGCUCGGGUUAGAUCGUCAGGUGAGGGAGGAAGGGAUAGCCAGCGCGAAGGAAGUGCUGGAGUCGUGUGUUUUGGCUGCGCGUGAUCCUGCGUGGGUCGGGAGGUGUUUCUGUGAAAAGCCUAAAGAUUAGACUGUAAGAAAAGAAAAUAGAAGCCAUGUUUCGAAGACCUGUAUUACAGGUCUCGAAUUUAUUUGGAAGGGAAAAUAGACUAUGGUGAAUACAUGGAUAAAAAUAAUGUGAGGCGACAAGCAACAACAAUCAUAGCUGAUAAUAUUAUAUUUCUGAGUGACCAGACGAAAGAGAAGGAGUAGAAAGGAUGAUUCUUCUUUGGCCAUCAUUUGGUACAGUCUCAUUUCCAAGUCAUGUAUAAUCUUUAUGGCUUCCAAGGACAAGAAUUAAAAUACUCUUUUACGU